Molecule: ribosomal RNA, 461 nt
Filed under: uncultured bacterium
Lineage: Bacteria
Description: bacterial SSU rRNA
Rfam family: Bacterial small subunit ribosomal RNA
Source: RNAcentral
AACGAACGCUGGCGGCAUGCCUAACACAUGCAAGUCGAACGAAGCCUUCGGGCUUAGUGGCGCACGGGUGCGUAACACGUGGGAAUCUGCCCUUCGGUUCGGAAUAACAGUUAGAAAUGACUGCUAAUACCGGAUGAUGACGUAAGUCCAAAGAUUUAUCGCCGAAGGAUGAGCCCGCGUAGGAUUAGGUAGUUGGUAGGGUAAUGGCCUACCAAGCCGACGAUCCUUAGCUGGUCUGAGAGGAUGAUCAGCCACACUGGGACUGAGACACGGCCCAGACUCCUACGGGAGGCAGCAGUGGGGAAUAUUGGACAAUGGGCGAAAGCCUGAUCCAGCAAUGCCGCGUGAGUGAUGAAGGCCUUAGGGUUGUAAAGCUCUUUUACCUAGGGAUGAUAAUGACAGUACCUGGAGAAUAAGACUCCGGCUAACUCCGUGCCAGCAGCCGCGGUAAUGUACAGUGU